ACUCCUACGGGAGGCAGCAGUGGGGAAUAUUGGACAAUGGGCGCAAGCCUGAUCCAGCAAUGCCGCGUGAGUGAUGAAGGCCUUCGGGUUGUAAAGCUCUUUCGCACGCGACGAUGAUGACGGUAGCGUGAGAAGAAGCCCCGGCUAACUUCGUGCCAGCAGCCGCGGUAAU
RNAcentral lists this ribosomal RNA (172 nucleotides) under uncultured bacterium. Its description in RNAcentral is "partial 16S ribosomal RNA". It matches the Rfam family "Bacterial small subunit ribosomal RNA", at positions 335 to 524 of the family's 1533-position model. The record is from RNAcentral.